Long non-coding RNA from Hypomesus transpacificus, 1105 nucleotides. RefSeq lists it as uncharacterized. The record is from RefSeq and is a predicted model, not a curated record. The transcript has 5 exons. NCBI's taxonomy places the organism in Eukaryota, Metazoa, Chordata, Actinopteri, Osmeriformes, Osmeridae.
CUCACAUGUGGCCCCCCUUGCUCAUGUUUGAUGUCUGCUUUGAACUUUCCAGUGACUUUCCUGAUUGGAGAGACAUCGGCACUCCUGGGUCGACAUCAAGGGGAAAUGCACAAGAAAUUCGGGAACACCGUCACCCACCUCAGUGAGGUAACCUUUUCCUUCUCAGAGCACGACCUAAUGGAAUAUUCAUUUGUCCAAAAUUCCAAUCGGUUUGAAACUGUUACAUUAAAUAUAAUUCAUGGUAUUACUAUGAACAGUGUGUCCAAUGUGGGUUGAGGUAGUGCUCAGAUGGAAUCUGCCAAGCCCAGGUAACACACCCCAGGGCAAAAGCCUGAUGACACAGAAGGCCUAUACACAGUUUUUCAAGAAUAGCAACAUCCUUGUGCCAUGAUGUUUGGGAUGACUGCUUAAUUACCUGGGUUUUGGCUUCCAAGUUGAUGAACCUGCUACACCUGUCACUAAGGCUUCCCGGGGAAUCUGCUCGAGCUGCUGCUCUGUCAUGACCCACUAGGACUCUCUGCCGAGUUCAAUGCCUGGAUCCCAGGCUUGGCUCUGCUACUGGCCUCCUCCAUCUACACCAGGCUCGGCUCUGCUACCAGCCUCCACCUACCACUCCAGGCUCGGCUCUCCUACCAGCCUCCACAAACCGCAUCAGGCUUGGCUCUGCUACCAGCCUCUACCAAACUGCAUUUGACUUGGCUCUGCUACCAGCCUCCUCCACCAAUCGGGCUUGGCUCUGUUACUAAACCUGCUUCAAUAAAAGCAUAUCUUAUUCAAUCGCUGGUGUGUUACUGAAUACGUGAAAUAAUUGUAUUUUUAUUGUAUGAUUUUGUAUUUUCCUUUAUCUUCUAGUAUUAUAUUUCUUAUAAAUAUCAAUGACAUUGUUGCUUGCGGUGACUGACAUAUCAUUGCACUGUGGGCCCGGUGUAGCUUAUAUAACAAUAAAGAACUUGCAUAUCAUAAAGAAUGCCUUUUUAUUAGGUUGUACUGCCAAAAAUAAAACCCUGGUUAUUUGAUUCACUGAAUGUUGAUGCAAUCAGGACAUGCGAUAUGCACUUGUCUCGCACUCGCUCUAAAUACCAAAUCCACGAUUCCGGGAGAUUGU